GGAUAACCUUGCGAAAGUAAGACUAAUACCCAAUGAUAUCUCUAGAAGGCAUCUGAAAGAGAUUAAAGAUUUAUCGGUGAUGGAUGGGGAUGCGUCUGAUUAGCUUGUUGGCGGGGUAACGGCCCACCAAGGCAACGAUCGGUAGGGGUUCUGAGAGGAAGGUCCCCCACAUUGGAACUGAGACACGGUCCAAAUUCCUACGGGAGGCAGCAGUGAGGAAUAUUGGUCAAUGGACGAGAGUCUGAACCAGCCAAGUAGCGUGCAGGAAGACGGCCCUAUGGGUUGUAAACUGCUUUUAUAAGGGAAUAAAGUGAGUCUCGUGAGACUUUUUGCAUGUACCUUAUGAAUAAGGACCGGCUAAUUCCGUGCCAGCAGCCGCGGUAAUACGGAAGGUCCGGGCGUUAUCCGGAUUUAUUGGGUUUAAAGGGAGCGUAGGCCGGAGAUUAAGCGUGUUGUGAAAUGUAGAUGCUCAACAUCUGAACUGCAGCGCGAACUGGUUUCCUUGAGUACGCACAAAGUGGGCGGAAUUCGUGGCGUAGCGGUGAAAUGCUUAGAUAUCACGAAGAACUCCGAUUGCGAAGGCAGCUCACUGGAGCGCAACUGACGCUGAAGCUCGAAAGUGCGGGUAUCGAACAGGAUUAGAUACCCUGGUAGUCCGCACGGUAAACGAUGGAUGCCCGCUGUUGGUCUGAAUAGGUCAGCGGCCAAG
Molecule: ribosomal RNA, 709 nt
Filed under: uncultured bacterium
Lineage: Bacteria
Description: bacterial SSU rRNA
Rfam family: Bacterial small subunit ribosomal RNA
Source: RNAcentral